RNAcentral lists this ribosomal RNA (166 nucleotides) under Tulipa biflora. Its description in RNAcentral is "5.8S ribosomal RNA". It matches the Rfam family "5.8S ribosomal RNA". From Rfam's summary of the family: 5.8S ribosomal RNA (5.8S rRNA) is a component of the large subunit of the eukaryotic ribosome. The record is from RNAcentral. Lineage: Eukaryota; Viridiplantae; Streptophyta; Magnoliopsida; Liliales; Liliaceae.
AUCAUACGACUCUCGGCAACGGAUAUCUCGGCUCUUGCAUCGAUGAAGAACGUAGCGAAAUGCGAUACUUGGUGUGAAUUGCAGAAUCCCGUGAACCAUCGAGUCUUUGAACGCAAGUUGCGCCCGAGGCCUUUCGGCCGAGGGCACGCCUGCCUGGGCGUCACGC